RNAcentral lists this ribosomal RNA (1568 nucleotides) under Lacticaseibacillus rhamnosus. Its description in RNAcentral is "bacterial SSU rRNA". It matches the Rfam family "Bacterial small subunit ribosomal RNA". The record is from RNAcentral. Lineage: Bacteria; Bacillati; Bacillota; Bacilli; Lactobacillales; Lactobacillaceae.
UUAUAUGAGAGUUUGAUCCUGGCUCAGGAUGAACGCUGGCGGCGUGCCUAAUACAUGCAAGUCGAACGAGUUCUGAUUAUUGAAAGGUGCUUGCAUCUUGAUUUAAUUUUGAACGAGUGGCGGACGGGUGAGUAACACGUGGGUAACCUGCCCUUAAGUGGGGGAUAACAUUUGGAAACAGAUGCUAAUACCGCAUAAAUCCAAGAACCGCAUGGUUCUUGGCUGAAAGAUGGCGUAAGCUAUCGCUUUUGGAUGGACCCGCGGCGUAUUAGCUAGUUGGUGAGGUAACGGCUCACCAAGGCAAUGAUACGUAGCCGAACUGAGAGGUUGAUCGGCCACAUUGGGACUGAGACACGGCCCAAACUCCUACGGGAGGCAGCAGUAGGGAAUCUUCCACAAUGGACGCAAGUCUGAUGGAGCAACGCCGCGUGAGUGAAGAAGGCUUUCGGGUCGUAAAACUCUGUUGUUGGAGAAGAAUGGUCGGCAGAGUAACUGUUGUCGGCGUGACGGUAUCCAACCAGAAAGCCACGGCUAACUACGUGCCAGCAGCCGCGGUAAUACGUAGGUGGCAAGCGUUAUCCGGAUUUAUUGGGCGUAAAGCGAGCGCAGGCGGUUUUAAGUCUGAUGUGAAAGCCCUCGGCUUAACCGAGGAAGUGCAUCGGAAACUGGGAAACUUGAGUGCAGAAGAGGACAGUGGAACUCCAUGUGUAGCGGUGAAAUGCGUAGAUAUAUGGAAGAACACCAGUGGCGAAGGCGGCUGUCUGGUCUGUAACUGACGCUGAGGCUCGAAAGCAUGGGUAGCGAACAGGAUUAGAUACCCUGGUAGUCCAUGCCGUAAACGAUGAAUGCUAGGUGUUGGAGGGUUUCCGCCCUUCAGUGCUGCAGCUAACGCAUUAAGCAUUCCGCCUGGGGAGUACGACCGCAAGGUUGAAACUCAAAGGAAUUGACGGGGGCCCGCACAAGCGGUGGAGCAUGUGGUUUAAUUCGAAGCAACGCGAAGAACCUUACCAGGUCUUGACAUCUUUUGAUCACCUGAGAGAUCAGGUUUCCCCUUCGGGGGCAAAAUGACAGGUGGUGCAUGGUUGUCGUCAGCUCGUGUCGUGAGAUGUUGGGUUAAGUCCCGCAACGAGCGCAACCCUUAUGACUAGUUGCCAGCAUUUAGUUGGGCACUCUAGUAAGACUGCCGGUGACAAACCGGAGGAAGGUGGGGAUGACGUCAAAUCAUCAUGCCCCUUAUGACCUGGGCUACACACGUGCUACAAUGGAUGGUACAACGAGUUGCGAGACCGCGAGGUCAAGCUAAUCUCUUAAAGCCAUUCUCAGUUCGGACUGUAGGCUGCAACUCGCCUACACGAAGUCGGAAUCGCUAGUAAUCGCGGAUCAGCACGCCGCGGUGAAUACGUUCCCGGGCCUUGUACACACCGCCCGUCACACCAUGAGAGUUUGUAACACCCGAAGCCGGUGGCGUAACCCUUUUAGGGAGCGAGCCGUCUAAGGUGGGACAAAUGAUUAGGGUGAAGUCGUAACAAGGUAGCCGUAGGAGAACCUGCGGCUGGAUCACCUCCUUU